This 253-nucleotide ribosomal RNA is filed under the name uncultured bacterium. RNAcentral's name for it is "partial 16S ribosomal RNA". It matches the Rfam family "Bacterial small subunit ribosomal RNA", at positions 524 to 776 of the family's 1533-position model. The record is from RNAcentral.
UACGGAGGGUGCAAGCGUUGUCCGGAUUUAUUGGGUUUAAAGGGUGCGUAGGCGGCCCGUUAGGUCAGUGGUGAAAGCCUCCAGCUCAACUGGAGAACUGCCAUUGAUACUGACGGGCUUGAGUACAGACGAGGUUGGCGGAAUUGAUUGUGUAGCGGUGAAAUGCAUAGAUACAAUCAAGAACUCCGAUUGCGUAGGCAGCUAACUAGGCUGUAACUGACGCUGAGGCACGAAAGCGUGGGGAGCGAACAGG